Molecule: ribosomal RNA, 407 nt
Filed under: uncultured bacterium
Lineage: Bacteria
Description: partial 16S ribosomal RNA
Rfam family: Bacterial small subunit ribosomal RNA
Source: RNAcentral
AUUGAACGCUGGCGGCAGGCCUAACACAUGCAAGUCGAGCGGAGCGGCGGACGGGCGAGUAAUGCCUAGGAAUCUGCCUGGUAGUGGGGGAUAACGUCCGGACACGGGCGCUAAUACCGCAUACUAUUUGAUGGGCCUAGGUUGGUUUUCCUAGUUGGUGGGGUAAAGGCUUACCAAGGCGACGAGCCGUAACUGGUCUGCGAGGAUGAUCAGUCACACUGGAACUGAGAAACGGGCCAGACUCCUACGGGAGGCAGCAGUGGGGAAUAUUUGACAAUGGGCGAAAGCCUGAUCCAGCCAUGCCGCGUGUGUGAAGAAGGUCUUCGGAUUGUAAAGCACUGUAAGUUGGGAGGCGUUACCAACAGAGUAAGCACCGGCUAACUUCGUGCCAGCAGCCGCGGUAAUAC